This 254-nucleotide ribosomal RNA is filed under the name uncultured bacterium. RNAcentral describes it as "partial 16S ribosomal RNA". It matches the Rfam family "Bacterial small subunit ribosomal RNA", at positions 524 to 776 of the family's 1533-position model. The record is from RNAcentral.
UACGUAGGGUGCAAGCGUUGUCCGGAAUUAUUGGGCGUAAAGAGCUCGUAGGCGGUUUGUUGCGUCGGCUGUGAAAACCUGAGGCUCAACCUCAGGCCUGCAGUCGAUACGAGCAGACUAGAGUGUUGCAGGGGAGACUGGAAUUCCUGGUGUAGCGGUGAAAUGCGCAGAUAUCAGGAAGAACACCCGUGGCUAAGGCGGCUCUCUAGUACGGUACUGACGCUGAGACGCGAAAAGCGUGGGGAGCGAACAGG